This 427-nucleotide ribosomal RNA is filed under the name uncultured bacterium. RNAcentral describes it as "partial 16S ribosomal RNA". It matches the Rfam family "Bacterial small subunit ribosomal RNA", at positions 355 to 774 of the family's 1533-position model. The record is from RNAcentral.
UGGGGAAUAUUGGACAAUGGGCGAAAGCCUGAUCCAGCCAUGCCGCGUGUGUGAAGAAGGUCUUCGGAUUGUAAAGCACUUUAAGUUGGGAGGAAGGGCAUUAACCUAAUACGUUAGUGUUUUGACGUUACCGACAGAAUAAGCACCGGCUAACUCUGUGCCAGCAGCCGCGGUAAUACAGAGGGUGCAGGCGUUAAUUGGAAUUACUGGGCGUAAAGCGCGCGUAGGUGGUUUGUUAAGUUGGAUGUGAAAUCCCCGGGCUCAACCUGGGAACUGCAUUCAAAACUGACUGACUAGAGUAUGGUAGAGGGUGGUGGAAUUUCCUGUGUAGCGGUGAAAUGCGUAGAUAUAGGAAGGAACACCAGUGGCGAAGGCGACCACCUGGACUAAUACUGACACUGAGGUGCGAAAGCGUGGGGAGCAAACA